Molecule: ribosomal RNA, 1496 nt
Filed under: uncultured prokaryote
Description: partial 16S ribosomal RNA
Rfam family: Bacterial small subunit ribosomal RNA
Source: RNAcentral
AGAGUUUGAUCAUGGCUCAGAUUGAAAGCUGGCGGCAGGCCUAACACAUGCAAGUCCAGCGAGAAAGCACUUCGGUAUGAGCAGAGCGGCGGACGGGUGAGUAACGCGUAGGAAUUUGCCCAGGAGUUGGGGGACAACAUGUGGAAACGCAUGCUAAUACCGCAUACGCCCUAAGGGGGAAAGCAGGGGAUCUUCGGACCUUGCGCUAUUGGAGAAGCCUGCGUCGGAUUAGCUAGUUGGUGGGGUAAAGGCUCACCAAGGCGACGAUCUCUAGCUGGUCUGAGAGGAUGAUCAGCCACACUGGGACUGAGACACGGCCCAGACUCCUACGGGAGGCAGCAGUGGGGAAUAUUGGACAAUGGGGGCAACCCUGAUCCAGCCAUGCCGCGUGUGUGAAGAAGGCCUUCGGGUUGUAAAGCACUUUCAGCGAGGAGGAAAGGUUAGUCGUUAAUAUCGGCUAGCUGUGACGUUACUCGCAGAAGAAGGACCGGCUAACUCCGUGCCAGCAGCCGCGGUAAUACGGAGGGUCCGAGCGUUAAUCGGAAUUACUGGGCGUAAAGCGCGCGUAGGCGGUUAGAUCAGUCAGAUGUGAAAGCCCUGGGCUCAACCUGGGAACUGCAUCUGAUACUGUCUAACUAGAGUUUGGUAGAGGAGUGUGGAAUUUCCUGUGUAGCGGUGAAAUGCGUAGAUAUAGGAAGGAACACCAGUGGCGAAGGCGGCCUUCUGGACGGUGACUGACGCUGAGGUGCGAAAGCGUGGGGAGAAAACAGGAUUAGAUACCCUGGUAGUCCACGCCGUAAACGAUGUCUACUAGCCACUAGGAGACUUCUCUUAGUGGCGCAGCUAACGCAUUAAGUAUUCCACCUGGGGAGUACGAUCGCAAGAUUGAAACUCAAAGGAAUUGACGGGGGCCCGCACAAGCGGUGGAGCAUGUGGUUUAAUUCGAAGCAACGCGAAGAACCUUACCAAAUCUUGACAUCCCAUUGACCGCCAUUUAAUUUGGCUUUUCUUCGGAACAAUGGUGACAGGUGGUGCAUGGUUGUCGUCAGCUCGUGUCGUGAGAUGUUGGGUUAAGUCCCGCAACGAGCGCAACCCUUACUUUUAGUAGCCAGCAUGUAAUGAUGGGGACUCUAGAGGGACUGCCGCGGACAACGCGGAGGAAGGUGGGGAUGACGUCAAAUCAUCAUGCCCCUUAUGAUUUGGGCUACACACGUGCUACAAUGGUAGUUACAGAGAGAAGCGAAACGGUGACGUGGAGCAAACCUCAAAAAAGCUAUCCCAGUUCGGAUUGUAGUCUGCAACUCGACUACAUGAAGUUGGAAUCGCUAGUAAUCGCGAAUCAGGAUGUCGCGGUGAAUACGUUCCCGGGCCUUGUACACACCGCCCGUCACACCACGGGAGUUUAUGGCACCCAACGUCAGUGACCCAACAGAUUUAUCUGAGGGAGCUGCCUAAGGUGAAAUAGAUGACUGGGGUGAAGUCGUAACAAGGUAACC